RNAcentral lists this ribosomal RNA (253 nucleotides) under uncultured Leptolinea sp. RNAcentral's name for it is "partial 16S ribosomal RNA". It matches the Rfam family "Bacterial small subunit ribosomal RNA", at positions 524 to 776 of the family's 1533-position model. Lineage: Bacteria; Bacillati; Chloroflexota; Anaerolineae; Anaerolineales; Anaerolineaceae. The record is from RNAcentral.
AACGUAGGAGCCAAGCGUUAUCCGAAUUUACUGGGCGUAAAGCGCGUGCAGGCGGUUCGGUAAGUUGGGUGUGAAAUCUCCUGGCUCAACUGGGAGAGGUCGCUCAAUACUGUCGGACUGGAGGAUGGUAGAGGGAGGUGGAAUUCCCGGUGUAGUGGUGAAAUGCGUAGAUAUCGGGAGGAAUACCAGUGGCGAAGGCGGCCUCCUGGACCAUUCCUGACGCUCAGACGCGAAAGCUAGGGGAGCAAACGGG